Long non-coding RNA from Hemicordylus capensis (graceful crag lizard), 869 nucleotides. RefSeq lists it as uncharacterized. Lineage: Eukaryota; Metazoa; Chordata; Lepidosauria; Squamata; Cordylidae. The transcript has 3 exons. The record is from RefSeq and is a predicted model, not a curated record.
AAGAUGAUGUUUGGCAUUUUAGCAUUCAAGACUCUACAGAAAUGGAUUGCGAGAACGCCUGACCUGAGAAAUUGACACAAGAUUGAGCGGAGGGGAAUGCACUGUUUAAUGAGAAGAAGGCAAAUCACCAAAGAGGGCGGGAGUCCUGCGAUGAGGUUGGGAGGUCGGGAGAAGCUAAGAAGAAGGAGAGAAGAGACUCUACAGUGGGAGAACCACUUUGGGAAGAGCAGGAUCAGCCCCUUUAUCAUUUCGGUUUCCCUCUUCUGCUGCACCUUCUUCAGUUCGACAGUAUCGCUUUUUUGGUAAUCUGGCGACCGGAACGAUACACUUUACUUCUGAGGAACAGCUACAACUGGAAACAAGGUCAGCUUCAUGUUGUUGUUGUUCUUGUUGUUGUUGUUGUUGUUAUAGCCCAGUAAGCUUCCAGACCACCUUGGGUUUAUUCUCUCUUUUUGACAGUUAAAGCACCACAUUUUCAUUGAUGCCAGGAGAUGUUGAACAGUAGGGCACACAUCCUGGGGUGCCUCUGUUAUGGCACAAGAGAUAUUCCCAGACUGAUUGGGCAAGGUUCGGACCACAAUGUGUGUCUGGACAUUUAAAUUUGCAUUCUGAUUGGGCAAGACCUCUAGGGUUUUUAAAUUCUGUCUUGAUCGAAUUGGGCAAGAUCUCUAGGAUUUUUAAAUUGUAUAUGGAAUUGGGCAAGAUCAAGGCCUGUGUGGGCCUCGAUUUUUAAAUUGCAUCCCCCAGCUUGACCUUUACAAUUGUAUUCUGAUUGGGCAAGACCUCUAGGGUUUUUAAAUUCUGUAUGGAAUUGGGCAAGAUCAGGGCCUGUGUGGGCCUCGAUUUUUAAAUUGCAUCCCCCAGCUUGA